ACGUUUUUUUCAUAGAGAUUUAGAUUUAAGGUUAGAAGAAUUGUGGAAGUCGUGAGACUUCCCUUUUUUCAUCUUAACGUUUGCUAUCCUUUCUUUAUUUAUAUGUUUCCCUAAGUGUGUUACAAAAAAAAUAAAAGGAUAAGUAAACCUAAAAAGCCAUCUUCGUGAGAAGGGGCUUUUUU
RNAcentral lists this small RNA (182 nucleotides) under Bacteroides reticulotermitis JCM 10512. RNAcentral's name for it is "Bacteroides sRNA BTnc231". It matches the Rfam family "Bacteroides sRNA BTnc231". Rfam says of the family: An uncharacterized small RNA discovered in Bacteroides thetaiotaomicron Lineage: Bacteria; Pseudomonadati; Bacteroidota; Bacteroidia; Bacteroidales; Bacteroidaceae. The record is from Rfam by way of RNAcentral.